GGACUACCGGGGUAUCUAAUCCUGUUUGCUCCCCACGCUUUCGUGCCUGAACGUCGGUACUGGUCCAGGAAGUCGCUUUCGCCACUGAUGUUCCUUCCGAUAUCUACGCAUUUCACCGCUACACCGGAAAUUCCACUUCCCUCUACCGUACCCUAGCUAUUCAGUCUCGAAUGCAAUUCCCAGGUUGAGCCCGGGGCUUUCACACCCGACUUAGAUAGCCGUCUACGCACGCUUUACGCCCAGUAAUUCCGAUUAACGCUCGCACCCUCUGUAUUACCGCGGCGGCUGGCAC
Molecule: ribosomal RNA, 292 nt
Filed under: uncultured bacterium
Lineage: Bacteria
Also listed under: 1 other name
Description: partial 16S ribosomal RNA
Source: RNAcentral